RNAcentral lists this ribosomal RNA (433 nucleotides) under uncultured bacterium. RNAcentral describes it as "partial 16S ribosomal RNA". It matches the Rfam family "Bacterial small subunit ribosomal RNA", at positions 29 to 507 of the family's 1533-position model. The record is from RNAcentral.
AAUGAACGCUGGCGGCAUGCCUAACACAUGCAAGUCGAACGAGACCUUCGGGUCUAGUGGCGCACGGGUGCGUAACGCGUGGGAACCUGCCCUUAGGUUCGGAAUAACUCCCCGACAGGGGUGCUAAUACCGGAUAAUGUCUUCGGACCAAAGAUUUAUCGCCUUUGGAUGGGCCCGCGUUGGAUUAGCUAGUUGGUAGGGUAAAAGCCUACCAAGGCGACGAUCCAUAGCUGGGCUGAGAGGAUGAUCAGCCACACUGGGACUGAGACACGGCCCAGACUCCUACGGGAGGCAGCAGUGGGGGAUAUUGGAAAAUCGGCGAAAGCCUGAUCCAGCAAUGCCGGGUGAGUGAUGAAGGCCUUAGGGUUGUAAAGCUCUUUUACCCGGGAUGAUAAUGACAGUACCGGGAGAAUAAGCACCGGCUAACUCCGUG